This 7437-nucleotide long non-coding RNA is filed under the name Homo sapiens (human). RNAcentral describes it as "HSALNT0385791". Lineage: Eukaryota; Metazoa; Chordata; Mammalia; Primates; Hominidae. The record is from RNAcentral.
CGGGGACUCGGUGCGGAGCCGGGGCGCCGAGUGUCUCCGUGUCCCUCUGCCCCAGCCGGCGGCCGCGAUGGUGGAGCUUGGCCUCUCGCUCUCUCCCGCCUCUCCAGCGACUGCUCUGCCGGCCGCGGAGGUCGGAUCGAGCGGUCAUUCAUUCAUUUGUUAAUUCGUUCACUUAUUCAGGGGAGAUCAUUGAACCCCUACGGAGUACCGGGUACUGGGCCGGGCGCUGAGGACGCGGGGCUGAGCAAAAGCAGCCGAGGCCCACCUUCGUGCCCCUUAAAACCCAGCGUGCGGGGCGGCAACGAGUACUGCUUUUCUGUUUUGCACUUAAAAUUUACAUUUUGCAUCCGUACUUUUUAUUUACUGUGCACCCUUACGGCAUGCUUUACGCACCCGUACCUGCACCUCCUAGCCUUGAGUGUAGACACCAGAUCCUGAGAUGGGCGAUUUUUCGAGAAUAAUUUUUACCCUAAGUGGAUUUUCGUGCCACGCAUGGACUUGGAACUACACACACGUAGUCCAAAACGUGAAAGUCAAAAUGCAGCUUUGCCAAGUGGCAGGGAGAAAGGAGAGCUGAGAAGAUGAGGAGAGGAAGGGCGCGCUCCAGGCUUUCCAGCCCGGGUGCGGUAGACGUAGCCCUGAAGGAUGAACCCAGGCUGGUAGUAGGGCGGCGGGAGGGCGGGGGGACCUGUCAGUCAAGUCCAAAGCAGAAACGCGGCGCCGGAUCCCAGUCAGAGGCCGGCUGGAACGCUUCCCACAGGCUCCUGGCGCUCCGGUCCCCACCAGGCGACCUUGAUCCUGGCGUGCUCAGCGGAGCCAGCGCAGCGUCGGGAGCUGGAGAGACGCGGGGCGCCGGCUGAGCGCUCCUGCCCUCUGCCUCUGGGCUAGCCUCUGGCCCGGCCUCCCGGCCUCCCCCAGGGUACGCUCUCCCCCAAGAGCGAACACCAGCUUUGGGAUCGCCAGCAGCCACGUCUCUGCUUCUAGAUCUCUUUUUUUUUUCUUUGAGACUUAGUUGAUAGCUGUUUAAGGAAUUAUGUGGAGGAAAUCUCACCUCCGACCCCCGCCCCCGUUGAGCACGGCCGGCCAGGGUCGCUGGGUGGGCCAGGAGGAAAGAAAGGGGCGGGGAAGAAGCAGCAAUUUUACUUUAAAUUAAAAUGACACAAAAAUAUUUUUUCAACUCAGAUCUUUCUGAGACAUCCCCAGAAAGCGUUGCAAGCUGUGAUUACACCUAAUGUGAGAGCAUGAACUAAUUUAAGAGGUGAGAGCUGCAUAAUGAGGCUGCCUCCCGUGUAGCAGCCAAGACUGGCAGCUCUGGCGGCGCGCUGGAGGGGACCGGGAGGGGCACCCUUGUAGAACCAGUCCCUGGCGCCCUGGGAUCUUCUCAGUGCCCUGGCGCUGUGUUGUCGGUCACUCCACAGAUAUUACAGGGUGCCUCCUGAAUGCCGGGUUGCAAUCAAGAGCAAGAGAUGGGGCGAGUGAAAGAGCCUGUUUUCAGGAGCUCAGCAUCAGGAUGACGAUUACCUAGAGGGAGGUGGUGGCCAGCCUCCCCCUCUUCUCUUCAUGCUGAGGCUCUGGUGGGCAGUGCCCAAGCCUGAACUGCCAUCUGUAUGCCAGUGGUUACCCAACUUGUAUUUUCAGUCUUAGCCUCUCUCUGGUCCAGACUUGUCAUUCUAAGGGCCCUUUUUCACUGACUCACAUUGUCUCCUCCCUCCCUGCCUUCCAAACUCAGCCUUUUCCUUUUUCCCUUUCCCACUGACAACAGCUGCACGACCCCCCCGCCCCCCCACGAGGUGAAAAUUCCCAAGAACCCCAUGUCUAACCUAACUCCCUCUCUAUGUCCUGUUGCUUGAGCCAUUCUCAUUAGGCUGCCUGUUCGGAGUUCAUUAUCUCCUAAUUUUUCAUCCAGGAAUUGAUGAAGAAUCACCUACUGCCUCUCCCACACACUGUUUAUUCUUUCAUUUGAUGAUAUCUGUUAAGUGCCCUGAGAUAUGUAACCUCCACUUCCCUCCCAUAUAAGUGAGAUUUCACGUUGAUUACUUCCUUGGCUUUCCUCAUCCCUUAUCCACAUAGCAUGUGUUCAAAAUAAUGAAUAUUAAUUUAAUGUUAAUAGAUAUGUGCUUUCCUGAAUUGUGAGGAUUAAAUGAAAUCAUGUAUAUAGGGAGGAAAAUCCAUUAGAAACCUCAAAAGCAGUUAUGUUUAUUUUUGCUAUUGUCACAUUGUUAGAGUCAGAAUUCUUUUAGCUGCAAGUGACAAAACCAACUCAAACUGGCUUAAGGACUUUAUUGGUUGAUGCAAAAAGCCUCGGGUUAGGUCUUGCCAUUUAAGGUAGGGCUGGAUCCAUCAAUCCGGGUUACCAGGAUCUGUUUUCUAGUUGUGGCUUCAUUUUCAGACAAGUUGUUUCCAUAUGAUAGCCUCAUAGAAGGUACUACCAGCUUAGUCCUAGCAAGAAAAAAGAGUACUUACUCUUCAAUAUUUGCAGCAGAAGUCCCAGGUCUGUUCUUAUGAGGGCAGUUUGAGUCACUUGCUCUUCUCUGAACGUGGAGAAGGCACUGUUUAGAUGAUGGAGGUUGGAUUCAGGUGCAUCCCCUGGAAUGGGGUUUGGCAUUAGCUUCACGUGGUCUAGAAUAAAGGGGUUCUCCAAAGGAAAAUUAGGGUAGGAAUGCUGAGUAAGCAGAACAAACAGAUGUCUACUUUAGUCCUUCCCAAAGGGUGAGCUGCAAUACAUUGCAGACUAUCAGAAUGGUGAUGAACACGGAUGCAGUAGCCAAGAAAAUAGAUGUGUGUUUGUCGUGGUCUUUUUCAGUCUUCAAGAUCUCAGUUAAACAUGAAGUCAACCACUCACUAUGAUGUUAUUUGAGGUUUAGCUUUGAAGUGGAAAUGUACCACAAAUAGUAGAGCCAGAUAAAUACAAAUAAAUAAUUUUAACAGUCCAUUCUAAAAGAUUUCUUUGGUAAUAUUCUGUUGGAAUUGAUUUCUAUCUUUUCAUUUGUUAGGUUCCUGGAAAGUGAAAAUUUCAUUUCUUUGUGGACAGGUACCUAAAAUGUCUCAUUAUUCAUCAAUUAAUGAAAAACAAAUGAAAAUUUGAGAGAGAUAUUCUGAAGAAUAAAAGGAUCAAGUUGGGUCAUUUCUAAAAUGUAAGAUUAUAAGGUUUAACUUGCUAAGACUUUUGAGGGGUUGAAUUAUUGGUAAAUUAUUAUAGAACCACUUAUCUGAGGCUUUUAAAAGUGAUGUGUUACAGAGAUUUAGGGAACUGCAAGAUUGCAGAUAAAGAAUUUAUACUGUCAACUGUUCUAUACUUUACCUUCUGCUUUAAAUGCGGCCUUAUAUUUUGAAGUCAAACAUUUAUUUUCUCUCACUGCGUUCUGAAUUUCCUACCACAGUGCAUUUUGAGAAAUGAAUAUAACAGCAGUCUUCAUAGAUGCCAUAUUCAUGGCAACUCUGUCCCCCGCCAACACCACACCCUGGAAAAAAACCAACUUUCUAUUGUUGGAAUGAGGUAACAUUUUCAGGAAAAGGGAACCAUUUUCUCACAGGAUAUAGAACAAAUUCAACCUUUUAUUAAAUCAAAAUGGAUUCUCUAAUGUUUAUACAUAUCAUAUAGGAUUUCAUCUCUUUCAAUCUUGGUUCAAAGGCCCAGACAGUACCAUUCCCUAGUAUUUAGUCCAUUUGCUCAUAAAGCAGAAGAGAAAAGCUACUUUGUUCCGAAGGGUGUUAGAUUUAGGAUUCCAAGGUUAUUUCAAAUUAAUGCCUGGAACUAGACUAUAAAAUGCAGGAAAGAUUCUAAGUUGUUCAAAGAUGAAAUAUCUUAACUUUCACCAAAAACUCUGUCUUCUGGGUAUUUUUUGUUUUUCUGCCUUUCCAGAUUUAUUUUAAAUACAACAUUUUUGCUGUUUACAUUUUUAAAAGUUACAUUUCAAAAUUGUUCAUAAUUGGACACUUUCAUAAAAUGUAGGCAAAUGCAGUUUUACUUUUUAAUGAAGGACAAGUCUGUUGAUAACAUUUUGAUUCUUAAAAUUUUUUUUAUCUUAUAAAAAUGAAACAAUGCAUUUAAAGUGUCUUCAGCUCUUAUGUUAAUACCAAAUUAUACAUUUUCUUAGCCCAUGUUCAGGAGAGACAAUAUAUCUUCCAAAUUAAGAGAAGCUGGCACCAUUUUUAAAACAAGGCCUUGAAUCUGCUGUGGUAUGUGCUGGUAGGAAUUUUGUAUGAAGCUGUUAUUGAAGUAGAUGACAUUAAGGUCAAAGGAAAAAAAAAACAGAAAAUAAUGUAAUCCUACAGAGCUGCUCUUAAGAUCUUGAGAGAAAAACCACGUAGGUAACAUCAAACACUAGUUGGAAUCUUUCCAAGAAGUAAUUAUCUGUGUGCUGUUUGUGGUGGUUGAUUAUGGGAACAAACCAAGGUUUAGCCAAUUCAGCAAACAUUUAUGGAGUGCCUGCAAUGUGCAUGUCACUGUUUUAAGGCCUGUGCCUACUGUAAAGGUGACCCACACAUGAUGCCUGCCUUGCAGGACUUGGAGUUCAGCGAUAAUAAGAGAUGCAUACCUGAAAAGCCUAUUUAAGACUCUUCCGGUUCUACAAAGAAGGCUUCUUGAAAGUGGUAGCUUUGAUUACUCUUUGGAUUUAUUUACAUUUAUCCUAUAAUCAGAAGGUAUACAAAACAGACUCACACAUAUAUAAAAUUAAUAGAUUAGAUAGCAUUUAAACAAAUAUUUCAGGUAGGUACUUCAAAUGCAUUUGACAUUUAUCAAAGAAAUGGUAAGUGCUGUCAUCCGUGGGUGGCUGGAUUAACAUGUGGGACUACUUAUCACCAAUUUUGUUAGGGAUCUUAGGGAAAUUCCUGGAUCUUAUAUUCACAAGCAAUUGUAUAAAUACUUCCCACAGCUCAGAGACCUAAUAGGAUGGGGUCUUAGAGAAACAUCUUUUGAGCCACAGACUUCUUUGUUACCAGAAGGAAAAUGAAAGAAGAAAUUUAAAUACCACUUGAAGAGAGAGAGUGUGAAGAAAUGACCCUGAAAAGCCUCUGGCAGAGGAUUCUUCUUUCAGGAUGGUGUCGCCUCCUCAGCAGCCCAUCCUCCUCCCCUGGACUCAAGCUCUCAUUCCAGUAACACUCCUUCCUCCUUCUCCAUCUUCAGGGGGAGGUUUGCCAGUCGGUGGGUUCUAAGCAUAUCUCGCUGAUUCCCCCCAACCCUGCCGACACCUCUGUAGGUCGUCCCUUCAUUAAAAUCUCUCCAUUUGAACUAUCUGAGUUUAAUUCCAUUUCCUCCUGGUAUCUCAGUGAUACACGGUAUCAGUACAAAAAUCUCGCUUCACCUUCAGAACCAACAGAUUUGAGACAUUUUAUCCUCUGUGGAACCAUUAGUUAUUUUGUCAUUGGUUGUAUCAGAAAAAAAAAUCAGGAAUGCAAAUCCUUCUUUAUUACAGAUUCAGAUUUGCAUAUUACCAAUGUUAUAUAUUUUAAACAAAACUAUUCAUCAUAAGUUUUAAAAAUUAACUACUGGAGUAGUUAAUGAAUCUGAAUGUAAUUAUGUAGCUUUCAUAAUAUUAAAGUAAAAAUACUAAAAGAAGUAUUUCUUAAAGAAGCAAAUGCUCAAUCUCCAAGUAAAUUUUAUUCUAUGCUCUUCCGGUAUAAGAAUAUGUUAAUAUCUUGAAAAAUAUCAUAUUAUUUUGUGAACUCAUAAAGCUAUUUUGAGUUUUUGUAAAAUGAAAACCUUACCAAAAUGUAUUUUAUUGUUGGAAAGCUUGACCGUUACUGCUGUUUAAUUUUUUGAGCUUGUAAACUUUAUUUGUGCAUGUUUUCAACAAAGAAGGAUUUUAUUGUUAUUACAUAAAACAGGUGAUUUCUAGAUUUUAAAAUCACAAAUUGAAAGCAAGGCACAAUAAUAUAUAUUUCAAGAUAUAGGUACUUAGGAGGCAUCCUUUUAGUCAUCUGUUCAAUGUAGCCAUCUAUUUUACACCUACUGUCUACUAUUGUUUGAGGUCCUUGCCAAAGUAUUGCAGGCUAGUUAGGAAACAUAAAACAAUUAGAAAGUAAUCUAUGACAAGUAAGCUAUCUAUAAAUGGCAAUGAAGGGUAGAACAAAUUCAAUGAAAAUAUCUAUUUAAUCCUAGUGUUUACUGGUCUAGAAGAAUAGGCUGAGUAAAUUAGUAUUUCUCUGGCUGUUGUGGUAACACAUUGCAUGCUAUAACAGUUUUAAGUAAUUACAGGUGCAUUGAAAUUUAUCUAUGGCUUUGUCAUCAUAUUCUAAAAUGUCAUGAGUACUUUUUUCUGACCUCAAUUACUAUGAAAUUGGUUUCCAAUAUUUAAUUAACCAAGAAUAUCAAGUCUAUAGGGUAUUAUUAAGGUGAGACUUCUGUAGCCUUUUCAAUAAAGACCAGAAUUUUGGAGUGCCUUGAACCUUAAUCAUUGAUCUUUAAUUCUUAUUAAGUCAACUGCCCACCUUUUAAAGACUGAGGCCCAGGAAGAGUAAGUUUCUCUGAGACAAUGCAUACAGUACAGUGCUUCUUGGGUAUUGGCUCUAAGACCAGAUGCAAAGAAAGGCUAAAAUCCCAUUUCAUUGUUCAUUAGGUGAGAACCCUUUGUUAAGCUGUGUAACCUCUGUGCAUAGUUUCCUCAUCAGCAAAGUCAGAAAAAGUAUGUACCUGAAGGACUGAUUGUAAGGCUGGGAUGAGAGAAUCCAUGUGAUCAGCCCUCACCAACAGGUGCUGCCCAGUUCAUGAGUGCUGCUGCUGUCCUGCCCAAGUACCCAGCUUGCAGAGUGCCAGAGUUAGAGUCCCAGGGGUGUUCUCCACAGCUGCAUGCUUGAUCCAGGCCUAUCAGAUAUAUUCCAUUGAAAGUCCUCAUUCUCAAAUUUAAAACAAAGACUUUUUGUGUACCUCAAUAGCAAUGCACACACAGUUGGCUUCACAAACAUAUUGUACAUUUCUUUUUUUCAUAUUUAUUCAACAAAUGUAUAUUGACUACCCACCGUGUGACAGGUGUUAUUUGUUGACGGAACCAGGCAUCAUCAGCAAACAAAACUGACAAAGCUUCCUGCCCUCUGUGGAAGGCAUCUGAGGAAGAGACUGGAUUUUGUAGCAACAUGUUAUUCUCAUUAUAAACUUUAUCAUUGGAAUACUAAAGCCAAAUCAUCCCCCAUCUCCUUGAUCAGGAUACCCACUUAAUCUAGGCAGCUACACAAUUGUGAGAGCCUUUGUUUUUUUCUGCUGAAACAUCCUUAAAAAGAUACCUCACAACCCAAGAUUUGGCUUUUCUUAAAUACGAUUUUUAAUUUUUUUCAUUUCUAUCUAGAGAUUUAAUUGGAAAUGGAAAAUCAUCAAUUUUCCAAUUAAAUGUCUGUUCCAAUCAACAUUAUACCUUUUAGGUUGUCAUUGUCAUUUUUAAGUUUAAGCAACUUUAAGGAUUUUGAAUCUGGCUGCCUGUAAAUUAAAGGUGAAAGUAAUCA